RNAcentral lists this ribosomal RNA (64 nucleotides) under uncultured bacterium. RNAcentral's name for it is "partial 16S ribosomal RNA". The record is from RNAcentral.
AGCUUUUGACAUGGGGAUUAAGAGUUUGAGAGAUCAGACUUGUCGGUUCGGCCGGAUCCCGCAC